AAACCCCACGAAAAUUAAACAAAUCUCAACUAUCAUUACCUAUAGAAGAAAAACUUGACUACCCAAAAAAUUAUACAGAGUCAAAAUUAUCACAAACAACAAAAAAGUUCCGUUUUUUUCUUUGUUAGAGUAAAAGUCAAACCCUUAUUCAAAAUCUCAACACCCAUAUAACAAAAAUAAUACAUAAUCCCCAUGCAAACUAUUAUUGUUCUCACUUUCUUCGCCUUCUCUCUCAUCGCUCUCUUGACUGACGCUAACAUCCUUAGCACCACCUCCUUCUGACGAGUCUCCGGUUUCAACAGGUAAGUAUCUCUCUCUCUCUUUCUCUUCUCCUAUCUUGUUCCUUUCAGGUAAAUCUAAGAAGCAUUCUCUCUGUUGUUUGAUCUUCUACUUUAGUUGUAUUUGUGUCUGUUUUUCGAGCUUAUUGCCCAGUUUGUUUUGCUGGGAACUGUUCCCGUAAAUUCUUUU
This 468-nucleotide long non-coding RNA is filed under the name Nicotiana benthamiana. RNAcentral describes it as "long non-coding RNA (NBEN_LNC030493)". The record is from RNAcentral. Lineage: Eukaryota; Viridiplantae; Streptophyta; Magnoliopsida; Solanales; Solanaceae.